Molecule: unclassified non-coding RNA, 213 nt
Filed under: Hevea brasiliensis (rubber tree)
Lineage: Eukaryota; Viridiplantae; Streptophyta; Magnoliopsida; Malpighiales; Euphorbiaceae
Source: RNAcentral
CGCUAAGCUGCCAUAGGAGCUGCUGCUACUGCUAAUGAUGGUACUUCUGACCUUUUAGAAUAGUCCAUGACCUGUACAGUUGUUCCAUAAGCACCAGUAGUGCAAUUUGAUGAUUUAAGACCAUGGAGGAAAGCUUGAUAGAUAAGUUAGCUCGUUGUCGCAGUUGUUGUCCAUGGCCAUAAGGCCCACCAAUGCAAAAUGAUAAUCUUGAAG